This 450-nucleotide ribosomal RNA is filed under the name uncultured Glomeromycotina. Its description in RNAcentral is "SSU rRNA". It matches the Rfam family "Eukaryotic small subunit ribosomal RNA", at positions 569 to 1021 of the family's 1831-position model. Lineage: Eukaryota; Fungi; Glomeromycota. The record is from RNAcentral.
AGCAGCCGCGGUAAUUCCAGCUCCAAUAGCGUAUAUUAAAGUUGUUGCAGUUAAAAAGCUCGUAGUUGAAUUUCGGGGUUAGUAAGUUGGUCAUGCCUUCGGUAUGUACUGGUCCCACUGAUUCCUCCUUCCUGAUGAACUGUAAUGCCAUUAAUUUGGUGUUGCAGGGAAUCUGGACUGUUACUUUGAAAAAAUUAGAGUGUUUAAAGCAGGCUAACGCCUGAAUACAUUAGCAUGGAAUAAUGAAAUAGGACGUUCGAUCCUAUUUUGUUGGUUUCUAGGAUUGACGUAAUGAUUAAUAGGGAUAGUUGGGGGCAUUAGUAUUCAAUUGUCAGAGGUGAAAUUCUUGGAUUUAUUGAAGACUAACUACUGCGAAAGCAAUUUGCCAAGGAUGUUUUCAUUAAUCAAGAACGAAAGGUUAGGGGAUCGAAGACGAUCAGAUACCGUCGU